UACGGAGGGUGCGAGCGUUGUCCGGAAUCACUGGGCGUAAAGGGCGCGUAGGCGGUUGCGUAAGUCAUCUGUGAAAUCCCGGAGCUCAACUCCGGGGCUGCAGGUGAGACUGCGUGACUAGAGCACAGUAGAGGCGAGUGGAAUUCCCGGUGUAGCGGUGGAAUGCGUAGAUAUCCGGAGGAACACCAGUGGCGAAGGCGGCUUCCUGGACCGACACUGACGCUGAGGCGCGAAAGCUAGGGGAGCAAACGGG
This 253-nucleotide ribosomal RNA is filed under the name uncultured bacterium. Its description in RNAcentral is "partial 16S ribosomal RNA". It matches the Rfam family "Bacterial small subunit ribosomal RNA", at positions 524 to 776 of the family's 1533-position model. The record is from RNAcentral.